AAGGCCUUGAAAACAUUGAAGUGGCUCGAUUUAUGCUGGAGCAUCCUCGUCGUGUGUUGGACAGAGGAAGCCAUAUCACAGGUCGAAGUGUGCACAACCAGCGCAUUGAGAGGCUGUGGCGUGAUGUCUGCUACACAGUUACCAGCAAUUAUUAUGCUGCCUUGCAGUACUUGCAGGCAAUACAGGCACUUGACCCAGAUGAUGAACUUCACUACGUGAUGAUUCCAAGACUGAACAUGCACCUUGAUAUGUGGGACCGACGUCCUCUAUCCUCGGAGCACAUGAAAUCCCCACAGCAGCUAUGGAUUCAAGGGCUACUGUCAAACUACAGCAGCGGAAAUCCCACUUCCUGUGAGACUUGGAACUCUGAUAUGAUGGAUUUUGAUAACUAUGGAAGGACCUGGAGCCUGCCGUGAAUCAGAGCCCCCAGUUUCAUUGCAGGACACACUGGUUCCUCUCCUUCCAGUCAACAUUGACCCUUUGAGGACGAGCAGCU
Acipenser ruthenus (sterlet) is the source of this 496-nucleotide long non-coding RNA. RefSeq lists it as uncharacterized. The record is from RefSeq and is a predicted model, not a curated record. Lineage: Eukaryota; Metazoa; Chordata; Actinopteri; Acipenseriformes; Acipenseridae. The transcript is spliced from 3 exons.